Molecule: long non-coding RNA, 202 nt
Filed under: Phoenix dactylifera (date palm)
Lineage: Eukaryota; Viridiplantae; Streptophyta; Magnoliopsida; Arecales; Arecaceae
Description: long non-coding RNA (PDAC_LNC001100)
Source: RNAcentral
GUCACGCCCCCGCCUGCGCGAGGCACGUGAGGCACCUAGUGCCCACGUGGGGGCCACAUGAGGGGGGACCGCGGGGCUCCCCUGCCAGAUAUUGUCCGGUUCUGGGGCUUCACGCAAGCGUCCUUCACCCCUCCCCGGUUUUGUUUUCCACCCAAAACGCGUCUGCAGGAUUAGGAGACACCCGCCUCAUAUGCCCAGGCUC